CGCAUUAUUACCAUCAUUCCUUAGGAAUGGUGGGUUUUGGCGUAUGCGCUAUUAAUUCAGAAACCCGCCCAAAGGCGGGUUUC
This 83-nucleotide small RNA is filed under the name Shewanella mangrovi. RNAcentral describes it as "Pseudomonas sRNA P9". It matches the Rfam family "Pseudomonas sRNA P9". From Rfam's summary of the family: P9 appears to be conserved in several Pseudomonas species in addition to Bordetella spp. In both Pseudomonas and Bordetella spp P9 appears to be located upstream of a predicted threonine dehydratase gene. Lineage: Bacteria; Pseudomonadati; Pseudomonadota; Gammaproteobacteria; Alteromonadales; Shewanellaceae. The record is from Rfam by way of RNAcentral.